AACUUGGUGAUGUAGUGGUAGCACACGUCCUCGAUAUGAAUGGAACGCGGGUUCGAUUUCCGUCUGAGUUA
Molecule: non-coding RNA, 71 nt
Organism: Parelaphostrongylus tenuis
Lineage: Eukaryota; Metazoa; Nematoda; Chromadorea; Rhabditida; Metastrongylidae
Source: the annotation of a GenBank genome assembly